UUCUCAACGAAUCUGCGAACGGCUCCGUACACCUGUUACAACCCACCGUGAAUUUAUUAAACGGUAUACCAGUGGAAAAGCUAGUGCUAAAACGGCUAAUUCAUCGACUCUAUCGUACCAGGAGGCCAGCAAGAUCUCGGGACCUGCAUGCAAUACGGUCCUUCCUGGGUGCCCCCCUCGGGAGGGGGACGCUCGGGAACUUCUGGGUCAUUGGAACGAUUCCAAUUUCCCGGAUCUUGACCUGCAUGUGGAUAGACCUUCCCCGAGUGAGCUCUCCUUUUCCUGGGAACGUUUGGGACUCCCGCUAGUAACACGCCUUGGAGCGUGCUCUUGAGUUCUUUGGACGGGAUACUUUAAUGAACUCUUCGCUCUCUCUCCCUUCCUCCGGGUUGGGACUCCGAGGGAAGAGACCUCAUUUCCCGUCUAAAUGUUCGCAAAAAGAGCCCUCCUUGAUAAACGAUGGUCAGGCCAUUUAAAAGUGGGCGACGAUCACGGCGUCCAAACAAAAAAGACGGCUCUUUUUGUUCUUAAUUCCUCUCUCGGGGGGAAAAAAAACAAAAAAGACCGUCUUUUGGACGGCAGCCGGAUGCCACUUCCCAAGUCGCAGGUCUGGGAGGCAGAAUAUCAAGGGCCGGUCUCGCUAUACGGGGGACUUUCUCACCCCUCCCUCCGGCCCCCUCUAUAUAUAUAUAUAUUAUAUAUAUGUGUGGAGGGGGGGGGAGGGGAAUCUGGGGAAGACCUCCGCUAGUGAGACGGGAUUCCGCUCCUUUUCCUGUGGACUCUAAAAGGGCGUCCUCGUGGGUGGCCCCACCGCGCAUGGAAUGGGCGGAGAGAAACCCAAUUAUAAGGAAAAACUCUUCUUAUUCAUUUUUUUUACGACGGGUUUCAGGCCUAUCAACUUGUUGGUUGGGUAUUGGCCAACCAAGGUUAUAAC
This 934-nucleotide ribosomal RNA is filed under the name Tubifera dictyoderma. RNAcentral describes it as "partial 18S ribosomal RNA". The record is from RNAcentral. Lineage: Eukaryota; Evosea; Eumycetozoa; Liceales; Reticulariaceae.